CAGGAUGAGACUCCAUUUAAAAAAAAAAAAGAGGAUGACAACACUGCCUGUCUCACUGGAAUCUUGUAAGGAUUAAAUGGUUACUGUUUUUAACGUAGUUGGAAGAGUUUGUGGUCCUGUGUUUGUUAAAUAUACACAAAUUAACUUCCCAGCUCACCCAUGCCUAGUAUUAUGCAAGGGGCUUCACAUCAAUUACCUUGUUUGGUCUUCACCACAGCCACAUGAGCUUGGAAUGACUAUUAUUAGGGAAAGUGGACCCAAGAAGGUCAAGUUCCUUGCCUGAGGUCACACAGCUAGUAAAAGGCAGAGCAAAGGUUGAAACUCAGGAUGGUCUGUCUCCAGGACCGGGGCUCUCCACCACUCGGGCCUGCCUAUUCCAGGGCUGGCAGCCUCUCUACAGAGGUGAAGCGUCUACUGGAUCACUUUUGACCAACAACACAUCAGCCGGCAGAGGAAGGAGGGGUGGGCCAAGAAGGGCCCCUUCCCUCUCAGGCCGGAGAGAUUCCUCUGACUAAUUUGCUGAGUGACUUCGAUGGCAAACUGCAGCCCUGUUCCCUCCAGCUGAGACUCCUCCGUCUUGCUCAUGACUGGGUCCCCUGGGCAGAGCCAGGUCCUGGCAGAGAGCAGAUAUCCAGUAAAUACCUCUUGGCCCUAAGAAUGACUGGGAACACUCAUGUAGCGAGAACACCUUCCUGUGUGUUAUCUCAUCUCAUCCUCACAGCAGCCCAGAGAGAGUUUCACUUUUGUUGCCCAAGCUAGAGUGCAAUAGCAU
This 772-nucleotide long non-coding RNA is filed under the name Homo sapiens (human). RNAcentral's name for it is "HSALNT0329616". The record is from RNAcentral. Lineage: Eukaryota; Metazoa; Chordata; Mammalia; Primates; Hominidae.